Molecule: long non-coding RNA, 343 nt
Filed under: Rattus norvegicus (Norway rat)
Lineage: Eukaryota; Metazoa; Chordata; Mammalia; Rodentia; Muridae
Description: long non-coding RNA NONRATT002795
Source: RNAcentral
GGGGACAAGGACAUCCCUCCCCACGCGUGUGAGAAGCCGAAGAGGAAGAGAAGGCGAUUAAAAUGGCGCCGCGACCUCCAAAAGGAGGCUGUUCUGGUUGUAGAUACCCCGGUGGGAGAAAACCCAGCAGUUCUCCGGGCCGCGCCACCUUCCGGGGCCCUUGAAGGCGCAUCAGUCCGGGCAAGACUGUCCUGGGGCUCCCGGCUGAGCUCUCCCCGCCCGGCUACGCAGGCCGGUUUGCACGCCUCGGUCCGCCAGGCGCAUCGGCGACCGCUUAGCGGGAUCCGCGGACCCCGGGGCGCGGGACUGCGCGUUGGGACGAGGGCGGGGCGGGCGGCGGCCG